RNA transcript from Daucus carota subsp. sativus, 2356 nucleotides. RefSeq lists it as uncharacterized. Lineage: Eukaryota; Viridiplantae; Streptophyta; Magnoliopsida; Apiales; Apiaceae. The record is from RefSeq and is a predicted model, not a curated record. The transcript is spliced from 11 exons.
UGUGGCCUAACUCAAAGACUCUUAACCCGAAGCAAGGAAUAAAAUUUACAAAAUUAUUUUGUUCUUUUCGAUAAAUCGCAAAUAUUCUUUUUCCUCGCCUCCUCUUGUCGGCGAUACCUUAAGUCCGGCGAGCACCGUCGGCACUCUUUUUGCCGCCACCGCUAGUACAACUCCUCUUUCUCCAUCUACUAUGAAGCGUUUCUUAUCCACUAUUGAUUUUAGGUUAGGUAAUAAUGAGUUGUCUAGGAGGAGUGUAUAUAAUGUUAUUGCUCGAUAUCAGUCACAAGGCUCCAGCAUUGAGAAGAUGAAGGCUUCUGGUUCUGAUGACGGAAGAGAUGUAGCUAAAGUGGAAAAGAAAACAGGCUCUGAGUGGAACGUGGAACUUGAUUGGUUUAGUAAGACACUAGAACCAGCUUUGCAAAUGUUGAAGCGGGCUCUUCCAGCAGGAAAUGUGUUUGAAAACAAACCCCCACCAAGCAGUAGAACUGUUUCAGAGAUCAUCUCAAGCAUUCAACGAAGUAAAAUUGGAGUGCAGGAUUGGUGUUUUAGUGAUCUUACACUAGGUUUAUAUCUUUUAUACCUCCGCCAAGCAUCUACAGAGCCAUUUCAGGAUGUCAAGGGGGUGCAGAUUACAUGUGAUUCAACUGUUGAGGAUCUUAUAUAUCACACUGAACUUGCAAAAGGGGCUUACAAGGAUAGUGUAGCAAGCAUUGCAAAAAACACCAUGCUUCGUGAAAGCAAUGUACUGAAAUUUGUUAAAAACUCGAGUGUUUUGAGGCCAGGAUAUUAUAUUGGUGUUGACAUGCGUAAGAAACUUGUGAUCCUUGGAAUUCGUGGAACUCACACGGUCCAAGAUUUAAUUACUGACGUAGUUUCCUCAAGCCAUGAAGAAGUUUUAUCGGAAGGGUUUUCAACCCAUUUUGGCUCAGCUGAAGCAGCUGGUUGGUUUCUUAGUCACGAGCUGGGAACCGUUAAGAAGUGCCUUGAACAACAUCAGGGAUUUAGGUUAAGGUUAGUUGGUCAUUCACUUGGAGGUGCUACAGCUUCUUUACUAGCAAUAAUGAUGCGUCGAAAAUCAAGCAAGCAGCUGGGGUUCAGCCCUGACAGUAUAUCAGCUGUUGGAUAUGGCACUCCACCUUGCGUCUCCAGAGAGAUUGCAGAUGGAUGUUCUGAUUAUGUCAGAAAUGUUGUAAUGCAGGAUGACAUCAUUCCAAGACUAAGUGUAGCUUCUCUCACAAGGCUGAGGAAUGAAAUUCUUCAGACAGAUUGGAUGGGUGUUCUUGAAAAGGAAGACUGGCGAAGCGUUACUGAUUUGGUUACAAACGCAAAGCAGGUCGUUACUUCUGUUCAAGACGUUGCUCGGAAACUAGCAGAUUACGCUAAGUUGAGUAAUUCAAAGUUUCUGGAGAUUCCUGCUAGAAAGGAUUCACUUGGACUUCCCAGUGUCCCGGCAACUGCAGUAUCCUCAGAAACAGUUCCAGUUCUGAAGAAGAAGGAAGAUGUUAGUAAAGUACCUGAUGAGUUGUUUGUACCAGGUACUGUCUACUGCCUAAAAAGGCAUGUUGAUACAGACACUAGUACAAUCCAUGGAAAAGCAGCGGAUUACUUCACACUCUGGAAAAGACAUCCAGGUGAACAUUUUCAGAAAAUUCUGCUGUCAAGCAACAUACUAUCAGACCACAAGUGCGAUAACCAUUAUUAUGCUUUACGAGAUGUACUUAAAGGAUUGCCCGGGUCUAGAUGAUGAAGUCCUGCUUGCAGGAAUCGGGUAAAAUUAGGUUUUUGCUGUUCUCUAACCGGUGGUUGAGCCUGCAUUCGUGUUCAGUGUUUGCAUAUGCGAGCUGACUCUGUAUAGGAUGUUGAAGUGGAUUCUUUGUCCUCCCUCUGUUUCGUCGACUCUGGAACACAACCAGGAGGGAGCUUUAUCCCAUGGCUUCUCCCAAACAUAUAAGCGUGGCUUCUGUCAUUACAAAUCCUAAUCAAUGGAGCCUUGAUCUUGAUUUGACAGCCUCAUUUUGUCCUCAACAAAGCAAUUCCAUAUGUACUAUAUUUAUAAUCAGUCAUCCCUAUAUCAAGGUAGAGUUCUUCUCCGCUGAUUCUUGAAAACGAAGUUUACGUCAAACUUCUAACUAUUACGUUACAAAUAUAAUCGGUGAUUCUGUCCCUACAGAACUCUUGAUUUAACAUAUAGUUCGAAACUUGUUCAUUCUAGUACCCGAGACGAUGCUUAACUAUAGACUAGGACGGGUUUAGUUAAGCACCAGACGUGUAUUCGUGUCUUUUGUUUUUGAUAUUUUUUCAUAAUUUUGAAUUAUCAUAUUAUAGAAAAAUUCUUCAAAUUCUGAAAAUAUUUUAA